AUUAAACGCUGGCGGCAUGCCUUACACAUGCAAGUCGAACGGCAGCACGGGGGCAACCCUGGUGGCGAGUGGCGGACGGGUGAGUAAAGCAUCGGAACGUAUCCUGGAGUGGGGGAUAACGUAGCGAAAGUUACGCUAAUACCGCAUAUUCUGUGAGCAGGAAAGCAGGGGAUCGCAAGACCUUGCGCUCUGGGAGCGGCCGAUGUCGGAUUAGCUAGUUGGUGGGGUAAAGGCCUACCAAGGCGACGAUCCGUAGCGGGUCUGAGAGGAUGAUCCGCCACACUGGGACUGAGACACGGCCCAGACUCCUACGGGGGGCAGCAGUGGGGGAAUUUUUGGACAAUGGGCGGAAGCCUGAUCCAGCCAUGCCGCGUGAGUGAAGAAGGCCUUCGGUUGUAAGACUCUUUC
This 408-nucleotide ribosomal RNA is filed under the name uncultured bacterium. RNAcentral describes it as "bacterial SSU rRNA". It matches the Rfam family "Bacterial small subunit ribosomal RNA", at positions 30 to 437 of the family's 1533-position model. The record is from RNAcentral.